Molecule: ribosomal RNA, 1074 nt
Filed under: [Hypocrella] hypoxylon var. piluliformis
Lineage: Eukaryota; Fungi; Ascomycota; Sordariomycetes; Hypocreales; Clavicipitaceae
Description: SSU rRNA
Rfam family: Eukaryotic small subunit ribosomal RNA
Source: RNAcentral
UCAAAGAUUAAGCCAUGCAUGUCUAAGUAUAAGCAAUUAUACAGCGAAACUGCGAAUGGCUCAUUAUAUAAGUUAUCGUUUAUUUGAUAGUACCUUACUACUUGGAUAACUGUGGUAAUUCUAGAGCUAAUACAUGCUAAAAAUCCCGACUUCGGAAGGGAUGUAUUUAUUAGAUUAAAAACCAAUGCCCUCUGGGCUCUCUGGUGACUCAUAAUAACUUCUCGAAUCGCAUGGCCUUGCGCCGGCGAUGGUUCAUUCAAAUUUCUUCCCUAUCAACUUUCGAUGUUUGGGUAGUGGCCAAACAUGGUUGCAACGGGUAACGGAGGGUUAGGGCUCGACCCCGGAGAAGGAGCCUGAGAAACGGCUACUACAUCCAAGGAAGGCAGCAGGCGCGCAAAUUACCCAAUCCCGAUUCGGGGAGGUAGUGACAAUAAAUACUGAUACAGGGCUCUUUUGGGUCUUGUAAUCGGAAUGAGUACAAUUUAAAUCCCUUAACGAGGAACAAUUGGAGGGCAAGUCUGGUGCCAGCAGCCGCGGUAAUUCCAGCUCCAAUAGCGUAUAUUAAAGUUGUUGUGGUUAAAAAGCUCGUAGUUGAACCUUGGGCCUGGCUGGCCGGUCCGCCUCACCGCGUGCACUGGUCCGGCCGGGCCUUUCCCUCUGUGGAACCCCAUGCUCUUCAUUGGGCGUGGCGGGGAAACAGGACUUUUACUUUGAAAAAAUUAGAGUGCUCCAGGCAGGCCUAUGCUCGAAUACAUUAGCAUGGAAUAAUGAAAUAGGACGUGCGGUUCUAUUUUGUUGGUUUCUAGGACCGCCGUAAUGAUUAAUAGGGACAGUCGGGGGCAUCAGUAUUCAAUUGUCAGAGGUGAAAUUCUUGGAUUUAUUGAAGACUAACUACUGCGAAAGCAUUUGCCAAGGAUGUUUUCAUUAAUCAGGAACGAAAGUUAGGGGAUCGAAGACGAUCAGAUACCGUCGUAGUCUUAACCAUAAACUAUGCCGACUAGGGAUCGGACGAUGUUAUUUUUUGACGCGUUCGGCACCUUACGAGAAAUCAAAGUGCUUGGGCUCCAGGGGGAG